UUUUAGAGUCUUUCUUUGUUGCUCAGGCUGGAGUGCAGUGGUACAAUCUUGGCUCGCUGCAACUCCACUUCCCAGGUUCAAGCGAUUCUCCUGCCUCAGCCUUCGGAGUAGCUGGGAUUAGAGGCAUCUACCACCAUGCCUGGCUGGUGUUGAACUCCUUACCUCAAGUGAUCUGCCCACCUUGGCCUCACAAAGUCCUGGGAUUACAGGCAUGAGCCACCGUGCCUGGCCCAGAGUCCAAUCUUAAAAUAAGGUUUGGCAUAAGAAUUUGCCCUUAGAUUAUUGGUUUGCCCUUUUUUUUUUUUAAUUUUUUGAGACAGGGUCUCACUGUUUCACCCAGCUGUAACACCCAGCUAAUUUUUUAAAAUUUUUAGUAGAGAUGGGGUUUUACCAUGUUGGCCAGGCUGGUCUCGAACUCCUGGCGUCAAGUGAUCCGCCUGCCUCGGCCUCCCAAAGUGCUGGGAUUACAGGUGUGAGCCACCGUGCCCGGCCAGAGAUUGGUCUUAAAAUGCCAUGACAGUCAGCAUUAAUUGGAGAGAGAUAAUAUUGGCCCAAAUGCUGCCUCUUCAAAUCCAAAAUCCAUUUUGGGGAGUGGAGAGGGAGACUAACAUUGGUUGUAUGUGUGCAUGCAUGUAUAUGUAUGUGCGUGUGUGUGUGUACAAGCUAAUCACCUAUCAAACAUAAUGCUGGGUACAUUCGCAUCUUUAUUUUCAUAGUUAUUGUUACUGUCAUGGCUGUUUCAAUUGGUUGAGGACCUGCUGUGCACUUCACAUCAUUCCACAAAGCCCUACAGUGAUCAUGGUUCUAUACACAAGGAAAGGAAGGCAGAGAAAUUAGACAACUUACUCAAUGUCAAAUGUCAGUAAGAUACAGAAUCCCAAUCUAAACUCAGGUGUCUCUGGCCCAAAGCCUGUGAUCUGUCCCUAUUUUGUAUUGCUUCAUAAAAGUGCAAUCCACUGACCAACAAUCAAGCCCAGACCGAUACUCCCUGGGCCCAACUAGUGCGGACCAGGUGGAUUGGAACUUCCCUGCAGUGCCAGAGGAAAUAGCAAUAGAGGUAUCUGAGCUCUUUGGAUUAAAGAUAAUGGAACAUAGGAGGGACUCUCCAGAGCUUUUUGUCCUACCUUGAAUCUCAGACCUCUAGAAAGAAACUUUGGGUGCUAUACUGAUUCAAUUGUAUCCUUUUCAUUACACUUUUAUAAUAUAUAUUAUUAAAAAUAUAGGCCAGGUGCAG
RNAcentral lists this long non-coding RNA (1234 nucleotides) under Homo sapiens (human). Its description in RNAcentral is "non-protein coding lnc-KLHL18-4:1". Lineage: Eukaryota; Metazoa; Chordata; Mammalia; Primates; Hominidae. The record is from RNAcentral.